GAAGGCGUCCGUUUCUUAAGGGUUCCGCUGUCUACCACUGGAUACUUUCGGUGCCGGACCCCAACCUUGCUGUGUCUGUGACUUCAGCUCCUCCGUAAGGCGGUGACAGAGUCGUGGAAGUUAGGAGGGUAGUGUGAAAGGUCAGGACCCAGCUUAGCUCAGAAGGACACAGCCAGCCACUGCCCGUGACGCCCUUCGGUGUCCGGUGACAAAGCUAGGAGCACCCUGCCUGAUUCGAGCCCGCCCUGCCAAGGGAGGGGCCCACCUGCUGUGUCUCCUGCCCAGAGCUGUGCCCUCUGGGGCUCCCGAGGCCCAGAUGAGGCUGUGAAGUGUGGCCUGUGGUUAAGAACCAUCUCCAGAGCGGAAAAACCAGGUUUCCUCGUCUAUCAAAUGGGAACUAUCAUGCCUACUUCAGAAGAGCAUCUGUGCAGAUUGAGUGAUCCCCAGCAGUGUCUGCAUGUAGUAGGUGCUCAGCCAUGCUCCCCAGGCCAGGACACAGCACCGCCCACUCCCGCUCAGCCCAGCCCCUGCCUCCUCCAGCCCCAGCCCUCCCCUGGGACGCUCCCUUAUCCUCUCUCUCUGCCUCACACUCCACCCAGCCAAAGGACUGCACCACACAAUGACACCAAAGGUGGUCUCUCUGGCCCCCCAGACAGGGGCCCCGCCCCUGCUUCUUUGGGUAAAAGAAAACCAAGACUUCCUUCCUGAGCUGUCAGUCACCCUGACCAGCCAGCACCAUGCUGGUUUAGUAUUUCCUCCCGCCCCAGGGAAGACACGGACCUCACAGGAAAGGGAGCCAGGAAGGAUACAGUUCACUGUGCCUUCCUCAGGAAACGAUGUAUUUCUUCGGGCGGCCACCUGGACCCCUGGCUCCCUAGAUUCUUUGUCAAGCCCCGUCCCCACCCCAACAGCUCUGGGGGCUUCCACAAAGGGGUGUGGGGCCUGUGCUUUCCUCACACUCCGUACUCUCUCAACCCAUUUCUGUGUGAUCCUGACGAGCUCUGCCCCACAACCAGAGGCCAGGGGGAAGACCCAGCCCAUGGUGGGUGCCGGGUCUUCAGGAGGAAGAGGUGGGUGGUGGCCGUGGAAGGUCCUUUCUCUGAAGGGACUCAGACCUGCAAAAAGGGUAGGCAGGUGGGAGCGGGCCACGCAGCUGCCAACACUUCCUCCCUGGAGUCAGACUGCCACACAGCUUUAUUAGGGACCUGCAGAGAGGCAGGGGCCCAGCUCCCCCCCCGCCACCCCGCCAGGCAUCAAGAGCAAGUACAGUGGGCUCCAGACCCCCCCAGGGCCCCUGAGCACACAGUCCAGGGCGACCCAGCCUGGCCCCAGCUGGGGUGCUCAGGAGUACUCGAGGGUGAACUUGGCAUGGAACCUGCUCAGCUUCUCCAGCAGCAGCCGCAGUUUCUCCAAGGGGGGCAGAAUGGUCAUCCUGAAAGGAGUUGACAGUGAGUGAAGGGCCAGGGUGGCGGGACAGGCAGUGAGGGCCAGGCCUCACCGGAAGUGGUAGGUGCCUUCCCGCUGCCCAAAGCCGCUCCCUGGCACCACGCAGAUGCCGGUCUCCUCCAGGAGGCGCAGGCAGAAGAACAUAUCCGGGGCCAGGCCCAGCUCCUGUGGACAGAGAGCCAUCAGAGAGGGAUGCCCGGCCCCCACUGCCCACCCCACAGGCCCCACCCCCGCCUGACCUGAGCGCGCUCCACCGCCCGCAGGGGCAACUGCACGCGCGGGAAGGAGUACAUGGCGCCCUGCACUGGGUUGCAGCUGAUGCCAGGAGCCUCAUUGAAGACCUGCUCGGUGAGCUUGGCCUUGGCCGCCAGCUCUGCCAGCACUGCCUGCUUCUCCUGUGGCCGCGGAGGGAGGGCCCAUCAGGGCAUGGCACUCGGCAUCCUCCCACCCCUGAUUAGGUCACCUGGACUCCCUCCUGCCCCCAACUCACAGCCUGGAACUGCGCGAAGGAGGGGUCGGUGGGCGCGGGUGGGCUGACCACCAGGUCCAGCAGAGCCUGGCCUGGCACCGGCGGGCACAGCCGCACACUCAUCAGCUUCAGCAUCUGCUGCUGCACUGCGGCGUCCAUGUUCACCACCUCCACAUAGCCGCCGCGGAACCCGCACCUGCGCACGUCCAGGUCAGGUGCGGAGGAGGGGGUGGCCCAUCGGGCAAGGAGGGCCAGGCCAUGGCCCGCGAGCCCCCACCCGCCUCGCACGCACGCACUCGCCCAUGUAGCCCUUGGAGGUGGAGUGGAAGGAGGCAAGCUCCUGCUGCCCGGCGUAGGGCGGCCCCAUCUCCAUGAGCACCUUCUUGAAUGAGUGGAACUGCGAGCCCGCGGCGUACACGUUGUCCUGGUACACCUGGAAGGGCGCAAGGCGUCACGGGGGCGGACUGUUGCCCGGCUUCCCGCUCCCCCGCGCCGCGCACCUCGUCCGCCAGCAGAAAGAGCCGCUCUUCGAAGGCGAAGCGGAUCACGGCCUCGAUGCACUCGCGGGUCUGCACCUGCCCUGGGGUGCGGGGGAGACAGCAGGGCUGGAUGCGCCUGGAGCGAACGGGAAGGAAGGGAGAAGGCUCGUGGACCCUGGUGAGGCCACCACCCUCCCUGCUCAGAGCUCCCCCUGCUCUACGUCCCUCUGUGUUAAAGGCCCUGCUCUCCAUGCCAGGACACAGGCAGGGUCAGCAAAGGUGAAGGCGGGAACACAGGAGGCCAAGAGCCACAGACACUGCCCAAGAGGAGCCUCCUGAACAGCCAUCUGAGAGGAAGCCUCUCCCUGCCAUGGACGCCCAGCAGGCCCUACCUGGCGA
Long non-coding RNA from Pongo pygmaeus (Bornean orangutan), 2793 nucleotides. RefSeq lists it as uncharacterized. The transcript is spliced from 4 exons. Lineage: Eukaryota; Metazoa; Chordata; Mammalia; Primates; Hominidae. The record is from RefSeq and is a predicted model, not a curated record.